This 430-nucleotide unclassified non-coding RNA is filed under the name soil metagenome. Its description in RNAcentral is "partial contains 5.8S ribosomal RNA, internal transcribed spacer 2, and large subunit ribosomal RNA". The stretch from base 1 to 120 matches the Rfam family "5.8S ribosomal RNA", at positions 35 to 154 of the family's 154-position model. The record is from RNAcentral.
GAUGAAGAACGUAGCGAAAUGCGAUACGUAAUGUGAAUUGCAGAAUUCAGUGAAUCAUCGAAUCUUUGAACGCAUAUUGCGCUCUUUGGUAUUCCGAAGAGCAUGCUUGUUUGAGUAUCAGUAAACACCUCAAAGACUUUAACUUAUGUUGAAUUCUUUGGACUUGAGCAAUCCCAACACCAGUCUUUACGGAUCGGCGGAGGGUUGCUUGAAAUGCAGGUGCAGCUGGACAUUCUCCUGAGCUAUAAGCAUAAUUUAUUUAGUCCCGUCAAACGGAUUAUUACUUUUGCUGCAGCUAACACAAAGGGAGUUUGACCGUAUUGGCUGACUGAUGCAGGAUUUCACAAGGGUUGGCAACGACUCUUGUAAAACUCGAUCUCAAAUCAAGUAAGACUACCCGCUGAACUUAAGCAUAUCAAUAAGCGGAGGA